RNAcentral lists this long non-coding RNA (223 nucleotides) under Malus domestica (apple). Its description in RNAcentral is "long non-coding RNA (MDOM_LNC003094)". Lineage: Eukaryota; Viridiplantae; Streptophyta; Magnoliopsida; Rosales; Rosaceae. The record is from RNAcentral.
CUGAUUUAGCCCUACUUCGAGGUCAUCAGCUUAUCUCCAAUCUAAACCUUUCCUUGGCAGAGAAAUUCUUCACUUAAAGUCUAAAGACGCUCGCCAAAACGAUCUUCUAAAAUGUCGAUAAGUCGUCUAAAUUAUCCAAAACUUAGGAAAAACUAACACAUUUUUCAUGCUCGAUGAGGUGGCAAGAUUCGACAAUUAGGUUCAAGAACCGAGAAUGCUCAUA